CCUACGGGAGGCAGCAGUGGGGAAUAUUGCACAAUGGGCGCAACUCUGAUGCAGCGACGCCGCGUGAGUGAAGAAGUAUUUCGGAAUGUAAAGCUCUGUCAGCAGGGAAGAAAAUGACGGUACCUGACCAUGAACCCCUUGCUAACUACGUACCAGCAACCGCGGUAUUACGUAGGGGGCAAGCGUGAUCCGGAUUUACUGGGUGUAAAGGGAGCGUAGACGGUAGGGCAAGUCUGGAGUGAAAGGCGGGGGCUCAACCCCGGGACUGCACUGGAAACUGCCAGGCUGGAGUGCAGAAGAGGAGAGUGGAAUUCCUGGUGUAGCGGUGAAAUGCGUAGAUAUAAGGAGGAACACCAGUGGCGAAGGCGACUUACUGGACUGUAACUGACGUUGAGGCUCGAAAGCGUGGGGAGCAAACAGGAUUAGAUACCCGUGUAGUC
This 440-nucleotide ribosomal RNA is filed under the name uncultured bacterium. RNAcentral describes it as "partial 16S ribosomal RNA". It matches the Rfam family "Bacterial small subunit ribosomal RNA", at positions 338 to 795 of the family's 1533-position model. The record is from RNAcentral.